CGAGGAGGAGGAGGAUCCUAGGACCCAGCCCAAUCCCUCUGCAAGGCCUGUAAGACAUCACACCCGCACCCCUGAGCAGCCAGAGAGCCUCACAUUACCUGCCUACUCCCACAGCCACCAGCCUUCUCUCCCCGCAUGGAGCCAAUGUCUACUGGUUCCUGGUUCCUCCUUGCUCCUGGAGCGGUCCACCUGUCCUGCACAUUCCAGGCUUCACAGAAAGUUUGGGAACAGAUGCAACCCAACCAGAAUUCAACAGGACAUGCUUACAGGUGUUGAGAUUGGGUUGACUCAAGUAUGAAAACGAUCUGACACUCUCGGACUUGGGUCAGGUAGCCUCUAAUCACAUUCUUCUUCCCAUGGGGUUGGCGUGGCAGUAACUGCAUUUCUUGCUACUGCAAGUCACCCUCCUGCCACCCACCCUCACUAAGCAGGGUGUGCUACAGGGUGAGCAUGCCAACAAAUUGCAGUGCCUCUCAUUUUGCAGCACACACAACACAGAGAGGCAGCCAGAAGCAGGAGCAGAACAUGUGGUUGCCACAUCAGUAACCUCACAUUCAGGAGACAUCCAGAGAUGUAUCUAAGGCAUGCAGUACCAGAAGUCCCAACCAGGAGCCAUCAACUUUGACUGUUUCCCAACUGUUGACUCACUCGCACGGAAUAAUGGACUUUCUACUGAGGGGUCUGCAUGGUAGUGGAGCAUACAUAACUGAAGAAUGGUUGAAAAUUUGCCAGUGAAACACGUGGCAGAAACAGAGAACUCCUUCAGAGGUUGUGAGGGCCGUCAACUCCAUCUUGCUGUGAAGGGUCAUCCAUGACUGUGGCCGGAUUUGCUGCUCUGGGGUUUCCAAACUGCAGGAGAGCCAUUGAUGGGACCCACACCUCGAUCCAAGCACCAGAACACUGAGCAGCCCAGUACAUUAAUCAAAAGGGCUAUUUUUCUAUGGUGCUGCAGACCCUGGUCAACCACCAGGGACAAUUUAAAGAAAUUUUUGCUGGGUGGUCGGGCAGGGCACACAAUACCUGAGUGUUCAGAAACUCUAGCCUGUACCUCAAGCUGGAGGUGGGCACAUUUUUCUUCCAUCGUGAACUUGGCAUUGAGGAUGUGCAGAUGCCACUGUGCAUCGCCAGGGGUGCAGCUUACCCCUGA
Pelodiscus sinensis (Chinese soft-shelled turtle) is the source of this 1147-nucleotide non-coding RNA. Lineage: Eukaryota; Metazoa; Chordata; Testudines; Trionychidae. The record is from RefSeq and is a predicted model, not a curated record.